CCUGCUGAGAGAAGAAGCAGCAGUAAGGCUUUUUUCUAAAAAAAAAAAGAAAAAAAAUGCUUAUACUACAUUGCUGGAAAAGUCCAGAAGUGGAAAAGUCCACUUGUAAAAAGAAACUUCAGAAUCACUUCAUGUGAAUACCGAAAGCUCAGUCUCAGAGUCAUCACCCAGUUGAAAGUCAAUGAUGAACCACAGGAGCUGAAAAAUUAUUAUCUUCUAGCGACCCAGUAGCCAUUGUAAUGUCACAGCACAGCAAAUUACUCAUUGCGGGGAUACAGGUGUAAGCAAGCCUACUGCACUGCCGAAAAUAAAAAAGUCUAAGUUAUUGCUACCAAGUUAACAAAAUCUGGAGUUGAAUGCUGUUGGCCUGUUGAAAAUACAAGAAUUUAUGGUGACAAAAUGAAUCCUGACAUUCAGGGAAGAAAAAAACUGGUCUCUGAUUUUUUUCAACCACAUUGUAUUUUCACUGAAUUCCUUGGCUUAAAGUGAUAACGUACAGAAAUAUUUCAUAUAUCAUUUAAAUGGCAUGAGGUCUUGGAAACAGUUUAACAGAUAACACACAGACCUCAAUGCCAAAGCCCUCAAAACAUAUAAAAUAUGUUUCUUACAAAAGAUGAAGGUUUAUUUCUUUCUUUGCUUCUUUACAUUGUUUACUUCUAAUACCAUUUUCAAGGAAAAUUCUAAGUACAAAAAAUAAGCUUAUACAAUGGCUUAUGUGUUCUCUUUUACAGUGGUUUUAUGAACUCUGGAACUGGGUUCUUUGUUUCAAUGGAGGUAAAGUUAAAAGUGUUCUCUUGUAGGGGAUUAGGGUAGAGUGUCUGCCAUUCGGCACUAAUGAUAUGUUGGGCCAGAUAACUGUUGUAAAGUGCUGAUGUUUGGCAGCAUUCCUGACCUCUACCACCAGACGCCAGAA
This is a non-coding RNA of Callithrix jacchus (white-tufted-ear marmoset), 913 nucleotides long. The record is from RefSeq and is a predicted model, not a curated record. Lineage: Eukaryota; Metazoa; Chordata; Mammalia; Primates; Cebidae.